GACGAACGCUGGCGGCGUGCUUAACACAUGCAAGUCGAACGGAAAGGCCCUGCUUUUGUGGGGUGCUCGAGUGGCGAACGGGUGAGUAACACGUGAGUAACCUGCCCUUGACUUUGGGAUAACUUCAGGAAACUGGGGCUAAUACCGGAUAGGAGCUCCUGCUGCAUGGUGGGGGUUGGAAAGUUUCGGCGGUUGGGGAUGGACUCGCGGCUUAUCAGCUUGUUGGUGGGGUAGUGGCUUACCAAGGCUUUGACGGGUAGCCGGCCUGAGAGGGUGACCGGGCAGAUGGGGACAGAGAUACGGCACAGGCGCGUGCGGGAGGCAGCAGUGGGGAAUAGUGCACAAUGGGCGGAAGCCUGAGGCAGCAACGCCGCGUGCGGGAUGAGGGCGUGCGGGUGGGAAACCGCUUUCGCCUGUGACGAAGCGUGAGUGACGGUAAUGGGGAAAGAAGCAACGGCUAACUACGU
This 467-nucleotide ribosomal RNA is filed under the name uncultured bacterium. RNAcentral's name for it is "partial 16S ribosomal RNA". It matches the Rfam family "Bacterial small subunit ribosomal RNA", at positions 28 to 506 of the family's 1533-position model. The record is from RNAcentral.